This 429-nucleotide ribosomal RNA is filed under the name Chloroflexota bacterium. Its description in RNAcentral is "Chloroflexi bacterium partial 16S ribosomal RNA". It matches the Rfam family "Bacterial small subunit ribosomal RNA", at positions 355 to 776 of the family's 1533-position model. The record is from RNAcentral. Lineage: Bacteria; Bacillati; Chloroflexota.
UGGGGAAUAUUGCACAAUGGGCGCAAGCCUGAUGCAGCCAUGCCGCGUGUAUGAAGAAGGCCUUCGGGUUGUAAAGUACUUUCAGUCGGGAGGAAGGUGGUAAGGUUAAUAACCUUAUCAAUUGACGUUACCGACAGAAGAAGCACCGGCUAACUCCGUGCCAGCAGCCGCGGUAAUACGGAGGGUGCAAGCGUUAAUCGGAAUUACUGGGCGUAAAGCGCACGCAGGCGGUUGAUUGAGUCAGAUGUGAAAUCCCCGGGCUUAACCCGGGAAUUGCAUCUGAUACUGGUCAGCUAGAGUCUUGUAGAGGGGGGUAGAAUUCCAUGUGUAGCGAUGAAACGCGUGGAGAUGUGGAGGAAUACCGGUGGCGAAGGCGGCCCCCUGGACAAAGACUGACGCUCAGGUGCGAAAGCGUGGGGAGCAAACAGG